This 587-nucleotide ribosomal RNA is filed under the name uncultured Ohtaekwangia sp. RNAcentral's name for it is "bacterial SSU rRNA". It matches the Rfam family "Bacterial small subunit ribosomal RNA", at positions 102 to 688 of the family's 1533-position model. The record is from RNAcentral. Lineage: Bacteria; Pseudomonadati; Bacteroidota; Cytophagia; Cytophagales; Fulvivirgaceae.
ACGGGUGCGUAACACGUAUGCAACCUACCCUUUACAGGCGGAUAGCUCGGGGAAACUCGAAUUAACCCGCCGUAAUAUAAUUGAAUGGCAUCAUUUGAUUAUUAGAUCUACGGAGGUAAAGGAUGGGCAUGCGUCUGAUUAGUUAGUUGGCGGGGUAACGGCCCACCAAGACGAUGAUCAGUAGGGGAACUGAGAGGUUGAUCCCCCACACUGGCACUGAGAUACGGGCCAGACUCCUACGGGAGGCAGCAGUAGGGAAUAUUGGUCAAUGGAUGGAAGUCUGAACCAGCCAUGCCGCGUGCAGGAAGAAGGCCUUCUGGGUUGUAAACUGCUUUUGCCAGGGGAUAAAAUGACCUUGCGAGGUUAAUUGAAGGUACCUGGUGAAUAAGCCACGGCUAACUACGUGCCAGCAGCCGCGGUAAUACGUAGGUGGCAAGCGUUGUCCGGAUUUAUUGGGUUUAAAGGGUGCGUAGGCGGCUUAUUAAGUCAGUGGUGAAAUACUCUAGCUCAACUAGAGGGGUGCCAUUGAUACUGAUGAGCUUGAGUACAGAUGAGGUAGGCGGAAUUGACGGUGUAGCGGUGAAAUG